RNAcentral lists this ribosomal RNA (244 nucleotides) under uncultured bacterium. Its description in RNAcentral is "partial small subunit ribosomal RNA". It matches the Rfam family "Bacterial small subunit ribosomal RNA", at positions 26 to 285 of the family's 1533-position model. The record is from RNAcentral.
AGAAUCAACGCUGGCGGCGUGCCUAACACAUGCAAGUCGAACGAGAAAGGGUAGCAAUACCUGAGUAAAGUGGCGCACGGGUGAGUAACACGUGACUAACCUACCCUGGAGUGGGGGAUAACUGAGGGAAACCUUAGCUAAUACCGCAUAAUACCUACAGGUCAAAGGAGCAAUUCGCUUCAGGAGGGGUCGCGGCCGAUUAGUUAGUUGGCGGGGUAAUGGCCCACCAAGACGAUGAUCGGUA